This is a long non-coding RNA of Nothoprocta perdicaria, 167 nucleotides long. RefSeq lists it as uncharacterized. The transcript has 2 exons. NCBI's taxonomy places the organism in Eukaryota, Metazoa, Chordata, Aves, Tinamiformes, Tinamidae. The record is from RefSeq and is a predicted model, not a curated record.
UCACAGCAGGAUCUGAGGAGCAAAGAUAGUAAUAAAAGCCCAAAGCGAGCCCAUCACCAGGCAGCCCCGCCGAGCCCGAAGCGCGGGGCUCGCAGCUGGCUCCUGCGCGCAAGGCUGGGAUCACGGCAUAAACUAUUGUCUGCAAGUGGCUUAGGAGGCAGACUCGG